UACGGAGGGUGCGAGCGUUAAUCGGAAUUACUGGGCGUAAAGCGCACGCAGGCGGUUUGUUAAGCUAGAUGUGAAAGCCCCGGGCUCAACCUGGGAUGGUCAUUUAGAACUGGCAGACUAGAGUCUUGGAGAGGGGAGUGGGAUUCCAGGUGUAGCGGUGAAAUGCGUAGAUAUCUGGAGGAACAUCAGUGGCGAAGGCGACUCCCUGGCCAAAGACUGACGCUCAUGUGCGAAAGUGUGGGUAGCGAACAGC
RNAcentral lists this ribosomal RNA (253 nucleotides) under uncultured bacterium. RNAcentral describes it as "partial 16S ribosomal RNA". It matches the Rfam family "Bacterial small subunit ribosomal RNA", at positions 524 to 776 of the family's 1533-position model. The record is from RNAcentral.